This is a non-coding RNA of Leptonychotes weddellii (Weddell seal), 1736 nucleotides long. NCBI's taxonomy places the organism in Eukaryota, Metazoa, Chordata, Mammalia, Carnivora, Phocidae. The record is from RefSeq and is a predicted model, not a curated record.
AUGUUGGGUCUUGUGGGUCGUGUGGCCGCUACUUUGGCCUCUGGGGCCUUGAGGGGACUCGGCCCUUCAGCGCCACUACCCCAAGCCCAGGUCUUACUGCGGGCCACCCCGGCAGCGCUCCAGCUUGCCAGACACUAUGCCACCUAAACAUCUUUCCGAAAGCAGGUGCUGCCACCAGGUGUAUCGUGGUGGUCAUUGGUGCAGUGGUGGAUGUCCAGUCUGAUGAGGGACUACCACCCAUCCUAAAUGCCCUGGAAGUGCAAGGCAGGGAGACCAGGCUGGUUUUGGAGGUGGCCCAGAGAGCGCAGUAAGGACUAUUGCCAUGGAUGGUACAGAAGGCUUGGUUAAAGGCCAGAAAGUCCUGGAUUCUGGUGCACCAAUCAAAAUUCCUGUUGGUCCUGAGACCUUGGGCAGAAUCAUGAACGUCACUGGAGAACCUAUUGAUGAGAGAGAUCCUAUCAAAACCAAACAAUUUGCACCUAUUCAUGCUGAGGCCCCUGAGUUCAUGGAGAUGAGUGUUGAGCAGGAAAUUCUGGUUACUGGUAUCAAAGUCAUGGAUCUGCUGGCUCCCUAUGCCAAGGGUGGCAAAAUUGGGCCCUUUGGUGAUGCUGGAGUUGGCAAGAUGGUACUGAUCAUGGAGUUGAUCAACAGUGUCCCCAAAGCCCAUGGUGGUUACUCUGUGUUUGCUGGUGUUGGUGAGAGGACCUGUGAAGGCAAUGACUUAUACCAUGAAAUGAUUGAGUCUGGUGUUAUCAACUUAAAAGAUGCUACCUCCAAGGUAGCGCUAGUGUACAGUCAAAUGAAUGAACCACCUGGUGCUCACGCCCGGGUGGCUCUGACUUGACUGACUGUUGCUGAAUACCUCAGAGACCAAGAGGGUCAAGAUGUAUUGCUCUUUAUUGAUAACAUCUUCCACUUCACCCAAGCUGGCUCUGAGGUGUCUGCUUUAUUGGGCAGAAUCCCUUCUGCUGUGGGCUAUCAGCCUACCCUGGCCAUUGAUAUGGGUACCAUGCAGGAAAGAAUCACCACCACCAAGAAGGGAUCUAUUACCUCUGUACAGGCUAUCUGUGUGCCUGCUGAUGACUUGACUGACCCUGCCCCUGCCACUACCUCUGCCCAUUUGGAUGCUACCACUGUGCUGUCCCUCAUUAUUGCUGAGUUGGGCAUCUAUCUAGCUGUGGAUCCUCUGGAUUCCACCUCUUGUAUCAGGAUCCCAACAUUGUUGGAAAUGAGCAUUAUGAUGUUGCUCGUGGGGUGCAAAAGAUCCUACAGGACUACAAAUCUCUCCAGGACAUCAUUGCCAUCCUGGGUAUCGAUGAACUUUCUGAGGAAGACAAGUUGACUGUGUCCCGUGCACAGAAAAUACAGCGUUUCUUGUCUCAGCCAUCCCAGGUAGCUGAGGUUUUCACAGGUCAUAUGGGGAAACUGGUACCUCUGAAGGAGACCGUCAAAGGAUUCCAGCAGAUUUUGGCAGGUGAAUAUGACCGUCUCCCAGAACAGGCCUUCUAUAUGGUGGGACCCAUUGAAGAAGCUGUGGCAAAAGCUGAUAAGCUGGCUGAAGAGCAUUCAUAAGGAGGUCUUUUUGGCAAACUAAGCACUGGUCCUCUUCCGUGCUGUGCUUCUCCUUGCCCCUAAUCCAAAAAUCUCGGUUUGCUCUGUAGGCCAUAUGAGAGCCUUGUUUGAAGACAUUGUCUGUCUGAAGGGUAUUUAAGGUUUCCAAAAAAUGUACAUCCCUC